Lycium barbarum (goji berry) is the source of this 414-nucleotide long non-coding RNA. RefSeq lists it as uncharacterized. Lineage: Eukaryota; Viridiplantae; Streptophyta; Magnoliopsida; Solanales; Solanaceae. The transcript has 2 exons. The record is from RefSeq and is a predicted model, not a curated record.
AAUCGAUCAAGUUCAAGGCCCCGAAUCCCGAGGCUCGUGAAGGAUAAAGUGUAGAACAAGUUGUUGCCGUCGUUCUAAGCUAAAAAUUGAACUUGGGGGAUGUUGUUUUCGUGGUAUCUGCUCACAUAAGGUAACGAAGAAGAGCAGGUUCGUGAUACUUUCGACGCUUAAGAGGACUUGCUACUGCUGUGGAUUUGGUGAUCCCACAUUCUUGUUCGUGGGACACUUCCUGUUUCGUUUAUUAUUCUGGAUUUCCGGGCUGCGUCCCAAAGUUUGACGAUUGUUAUGUCUCUUAGAAGCUCCAUAGAUAGUUGUCAGAAUUGUGGGUAGAUUGUCAAAGUCUCGUACGACUUAAUGACUGUUUGCCACGUUUAUGACUAUGACUUAUAAAGACUUCCGCUGAUUUAAUUCAUG